AUUGAACGCUGGCGGCAUGCCUUACACAUGCAAGUCGAACGGCAGCGCGGACUUCGGUCUGGCGGCGAGUGGCGAACGGGUGAGUAACAUAUCGGAACGUGCCCUGGAGUGGGGGAUAACUAGUCGAAAGACUAGCUAAUACCGCAUACGCCCUGAGGGGGAAAGUGGGGGAUCGCAAGACCUCAUGCUCGUGGAGCGGCCGAUAUCUGAUUAGCUAGUUGGUGGGGUAAAGGCCUACCAAGGCGACGAUCAGUAGCUGGUCUGAGAGGACGACCAGCCACACAGGGACUGAGACACGGCCCAGACUCCUACGGGAGGCAGCAGUGGGGAAUUUGGACAAUGAGCGAAAGCCUGAUCCAGCCAUUCCGCGUGCAGGAUGAAGGCCCUCGGGUUGUAAACUGCUUUUGUACAGAACGAAAAGGUUUCUACUAAUACUAGGAGCUCAUGACGGUACUGUAAGAAUAAGCACCGGCUAACUACGUGCCAGCAGCCGCCGCGG
Molecule: ribosomal RNA, 499 nt
Filed under: uncultured bacterium
Lineage: Bacteria
Description: partial 16S ribosomal RNA
Rfam family: Bacterial small subunit ribosomal RNA
Source: RNAcentral